GACGAACGCUGGCGGCGUGCUUAACACAUGCAAGUCGAACGGAAAGGCCCUGCUUGCAGGGUACUCGAGUGGCGAACGGGUGAGUAACACGUGGGUGAUCUGCCCUGCACUUCGGGAUAAGCCUGGGAAACUGGGUCUAAUACCGGAUAGGAGCCAUUUUUAGUGUGAUGGUUGGAAAGUUUUUUCGGUGUAGGAUGAGCUCGCGGCCUAUCAGCUUGUUGGUGGGGUAAUGGCCUACCAAGGCGGCGACGGGUAGCCGGCCUGAGAGGGUGGACGGCCACAUUGGGACUGAGAUACGGCCCAGACUCCUACGGGAGGCAGCAGGGGGGAAUAUUGCACAAGGGGCGCAAGCCUGAUGCAGCGACGCCGCGUGGGGGAUGACGGCCUUCGGGUUGUAAACUCCUUUCGCUAGGGACGAAGCUUUUUGUGACGGUACCUAGAUAAGAAGCACCGGCUAACUACGUG
RNAcentral lists this ribosomal RNA (465 nucleotides) under uncultured bacterium. RNAcentral's name for it is "partial 16S ribosomal RNA". It matches the Rfam family "Bacterial small subunit ribosomal RNA", at positions 28 to 507 of the family's 1533-position model. The record is from RNAcentral.